ACUCCUACGGGAGGCAGCAGUGAGGAAUAUUGGUCAAUGGAGGGAACUCUGAACCAGCCAUCCCGCGUGUAGGAAGACGGCCUUAUGGGUUGUAAACUACUUCAUUAACAGGAAGAAACGUACCCUCGUGAGGGUGCCUGACGGUACUGUAGGAAUAAGCACCGGCUAACUCCGUGCCAGCAGCCGCGGUAAUACGGAGGGUGCGAGCGUUAUCCGGAUUUAUUGGGUUUAAAGGGUCCGUAGGCGGAUUAAUAAGUCAGUGGUGAAAUCCCAUCGCUUAACGAUGGAACUGCCAUUGAUACUGUUAGUCUUGAAUGAGGGUGCAGUGGUUGGAAUGUGUAGUGUAGCGGUGAAAUGCAUAGAUAUUACACAGAACACCGAUUGCGAAGGCAGAUCACUAACCCUAAAUUGACGCUGAGGGACGAAAGCGUGGGGGAGCGAACAGGAUUAGAUACCCUGUAGCGACUG
This 468-nucleotide ribosomal RNA is filed under the name uncultured bacterium. Its description in RNAcentral is "bacterial SSU rRNA". It matches the Rfam family "Bacterial small subunit ribosomal RNA", at positions 335 to 797 of the family's 1533-position model. The record is from RNAcentral.